RNAcentral lists this ribosomal RNA (703 nucleotides) under uncultured Alphaproteobacteria bacterium. RNAcentral's name for it is "bacterial SSU rRNA". It matches the Rfam family "Bacterial small subunit ribosomal RNA", at positions 64 to 820 of the family's 1533-position model. The record is from RNAcentral. Lineage: Bacteria; Pseudomonadati; Pseudomonadota; Alphaproteobacteria.
GAACGCAGUAGCAUACUGAGUGGCAACGGGUGAGUAUAUGUGGGUAUCUGCCUUUUGGUUUGGAAUAACACGAGGAAACUUGUUGCUAUACCGGAUAAGCCUUCACAGGGCAAAGUUUUAUACGCCGAAAGAUGAGCCCGCACUUGAUUAGUUAGUUGGUGAGGUAAAAGCUCACCAAGACAAUGAUCAAUAGCUGGUCUGAGAGGACGAUCAGCCACAUUGGGACUGAGACACGGCCCAGACUCCUACGGGAGGCAGCAGUAAGGAAUCUUGCACAAUGGGGGAAACCCUGAUGCAGCGAUGCCGCGUGAGUGAAGAAGGCCCUUGGGUUGUAAAACUCUUUCGUCGGGGAAGAAAAUGACUGUACCCGAAUAAGAAGGUCCGGCUAACUUCGUGCCAGCAGCCGCGGUAAUACGAAGGGACCUAGCGUAGUUCGGAAUUACUGGGCUUAAAGAGCUCGUAGGUGGUUAAAAAAGUUGAUGGUGAAAUCCCAAUGCUCAACCUUGGAACUGCCAUCAAAACUUUUUAGCUAGAGUGUGAUAGAGGACAGUGGACUUUCUAGUGUAGAGGUGAAAUUCGUAGAUAUUAGAAAGAACACAAAUGCGAAGGCAACUUACUGGGUCACUACUGACACUGAGGAGCGAAAGCUGGGUACGCAGACGAUUAAUACCCCGAGAUCAUGCGGAACGAGUGUGUGACUUGA